Molecule: ribosomal RNA, 468 nt
Filed under: uncultured bacterium
Lineage: Bacteria
Description: partial 16S ribosomal RNA
Rfam family: Bacterial small subunit ribosomal RNA
Source: RNAcentral
GAUGAACGCUGGCGGCGUGCCUAACACAUGCAAGUCGAACGGAAAGGCCAUGCUUUUGCGGGGUGCUCGAGUGGCGCACGGGUGAGUAACACGUGAGUAACCCGCCCUUGACUUUGUGAUAACUUCAGGAGACUGGGGCUAAUACAGGAUAGGAGAUCCUGCUGCAUGGGGGGGGUUGGAAAGUUUCGGCGGUUGGGGAUGGACUCGCGGGUUAUCAGCUUGUUGGUGGGGUAGUGGCUUACCAAGCCUUUGACGGCUAGCCGGCAUGGGAGGGGGACCGGGGACAAGACUACUGAGGGACGGCGCAGUCGGGAACGUGAGGCAAUGGUGGAGAGCAUGACACAGUGAGGGCGAGUGUGUGACGACGGCGUUGGGAUCGUAAAGACGUCCUUCUAGGGAUGAACCGCUUUCGCCUGAGACGUAGCGGGAUUGACGGUAACGGGUAAAGAAGCACCGGCUAACUACGUG